Molecule: small nuclear RNA, 112 nt
Organism: Budorcas taxicolor (takin)
Lineage: Eukaryota; Metazoa; Chordata; Mammalia; Artiodactyla; Bovidae
Source: RefSeq, a predicted model, not a curated record
GUGCUCGCUUCAGCAGCACAUAUACUAAAACUGGAACGAUACAGAGAAGAUUAGAUUAGCAUGGCCCCUGCGCAAGGAUGACAUGCAAAUUAGUGAAGUGUUCCAUAUUUUU